Long non-coding RNA from Oncorhynchus keta (chum salmon), 982 nucleotides. RefSeq lists it as uncharacterized. The transcript has 4 exons. The record is from RefSeq and is a predicted model, not a curated record. Lineage: Eukaryota; Metazoa; Chordata; Actinopteri; Salmoniformes; Salmonidae.
UGGAGACAAAACUCGUAACGCAGUCGAGUUGUACGUUCCACAUUACGCCAGAGGUCCCUCACGUGACAAAUGACAGCAAAAACGGAUUAUUUGAGGUAUUACACUCCCAUGGGUUAGUUAUACAAAAGAUUUGGUGGUAGUUUUGACAGUUGAUAUUCCUUUACCACGAAUAAGCAUAUUUACUUUCGACAAUGAUUGCUCCAUCAGAGGCGACCACUGUACUGUUGGCUUUGGGUAACGUGAGAGACAGCGAGUAAAGAGGCCCAACUCGGCGGAAAAGGUCUCCCUCCAGCAGCAGGUGGCGUUGUUUCGCAAUAAGUGUCGAAUUUGUACUUCAAAAUGAGACAAUCCUGCCAUGGAAAAGACGACUGGGUGGACAAAGUGGAAAGGAGGGGAAAACUCACCAUGCAGCAGGACACCUUCAGCUGCGGGGUCUUUAAUGCAGAUGGCCAAGGAAGUUGCACAGAACUUCCCCUCCCAAAUUGAUAUAGAACCUUCACAAAAGCACAUGGAACAACUGCGAAACUAAAUGGCUGAGGAUAUACUAAAAAUGUCUGGUAUGUAAAGACAUUUGAAUUCAAAGUCAAUGUAAAUUCUUAAUUUGUAUGUAGUUGUGUGGGACAGCCAUAUGUUCAGUUCAUGCCUAUGAUUUGAGUUCAACAAAGCCAACACCUGCUCCUUGUGUGUCACCGAUAAAUAACCUGGAUGUGGCCCAAAGACUGACUGGGUUAGUAACUUUAUUUAACACGUUUAUAAUCUUUUGACAACAGUGACGGCAUGUAAGACAAUUUUUGAUAACACAAUGGAUGGCUAAUUCGUUAUACGUUAUAAAUAAUAUCAAUGCAGUGUUACGCUUUGUUUUAGAUUUGAUGUUUUGCAUGCCAACAGUGGUUCAAUGUGCUGUCCCUAGGACUGAAGACAAGAGUUCAGAGUGAAGAACACAAACUGGAAGUGCUGUCUUUGUUGUUGAAAAUAUAUGCUA